This is a long non-coding RNA of Balaenoptera ricei (Rice's whale), 1064 nucleotides long. RefSeq lists it as uncharacterized. Lineage: Eukaryota; Metazoa; Chordata; Mammalia; Artiodactyla; Balaenopteridae. The record is from RefSeq and is a predicted model, not a curated record. The transcript is spliced from 7 exons.
AUUUUCCUGUGGCAUAUCUUGUUUCCACAAACAGAAAAAUCUCAUUGAUUUGGAAGUCACCCAUCAGAAUGCCCUUCCCUGUUCCUGAGGACCUAAUAGAAAUAGCAGAGCCUCUCAGAUGUGACCUUAAGGCAUUGAAGAGGCACAGAUCCAGAAAGAAGAAACCACAGAGACCAAGAAGCAAAGCACAGGGAGGAUAAACAGAGAUGAUUUAUUUUCUACCAGCAUUCAUAACCUUCUAUGAUUAAACCUAACUUCAUUAUUCUGCAUUUGUGAAGUGAAUUGUUUACAGUGGAAAAAGGGAGAGAACACUAAACUUCAUGGGGAUGGAAGAUGAUCUAGAGACAAACCAAAGGAUAAUUGAGAAGUGCUGGAAGAAAGACUGAGUUCAAACAAGCUCCAAAGGUGCAUCUCUGCUGAUUUACCUGGUCCUGCUCAGGAGGCCCUCCCAGGAUGCACUUGGGCCAGUGCCUCCAUUGCCCAGUUUCAGAUAUUGUCACCUGAGGUUUUGAUCUCUCCCUGAAUGGAUAUUCAAACUGAAAAUGUCCCGGGUCUCUGUGCUUCUCAAGAUUGAACUUCCCAUGUAGCUUCUCUCAGGCAGCUGUCCUCCUUUGGGAGUGAGUGCCAUUUUCUGGGAAUCCACAGGGGCAGUUGCAUUAGUGGAGGUGGGGAGCAGGACAUGGAUGGUCAACGGUAAUCUACAUCCCAGAAAUGGAAGAUACAGAUCUAAGGAAACGAAGAACAAAGAAAGAACGGACUAAGAUGACUUCAGGGUGCUUUCCUUGACAUCAGAUAUUACUCCCCCUAGAAGAAGCCAAUAGCUAUGUUGUGAAGAUACUUAAGCAGCCAUAUGGAGAGAUUCACAUCAUGAAGAACUAAGACCUUCUUCCAAGAGUCAAUGAGAAACCGAGGCUUCCUGCCAACAAGCAUGUGAGGGCACCAUCUUGUAAGCUGAUCCUCCAGCCCAGUCGAGCCUUCAGAUGAAUGCAACCCUGACUCCUCUCCUGACUGCAACCUUGUCAGAGACCUUGAACCAGACCACCCAGCUAAGCCACAUCUGAAUU